This 253-nucleotide ribosomal RNA is filed under the name uncultured bacterium. RNAcentral's name for it is "partial 16S ribosomal RNA". It matches the Rfam family "Bacterial small subunit ribosomal RNA", at positions 524 to 776 of the family's 1533-position model. The record is from RNAcentral.
UACGGAGGGAGCUAGCGUUGUUCGGAAUUACUGGGCGUAAAGCGCGCGUAGGCGGCUUUGUAAGUUAGAGGUGAAAGCCCGGGGCUCAACUCCGGAACUGCCUUUAAGACUGCAUCGCUAGAAUCCGGGAGAGGUGAGUGGAAUUCCGAGUGUAGAGGUGAAAUUCGUAGAUAUUCGGAAGAACACCAGUGGCGAAGGCGACUUACUGGACACAUAUUGACGCUGAGGUGCGAAAGCGUGGGGAGCAAACAGG